Capra hircus (goat) is the source of this 354-nucleotide long non-coding RNA. RefSeq lists it as uncharacterized. The record is from RefSeq and is a predicted model, not a curated record. Lineage: Eukaryota; Metazoa; Chordata; Mammalia; Artiodactyla; Bovidae. The transcript is spliced from 2 exons.
AAGGAUCGAGCCUCAGUCUCUUAUGUCUCCUGCACUAGCAGGACCUUUCAAGGUGCCUGCUUUCAUCACUGACAGUCUCCCAGCCUCGUCUGCAAUGUUCUCACAGUCACAGUCCUCUGAGCUACCACGGGGUGUCUGCAGUUCACCUGCUUCAGUUCCCUGCAGGGAUGUCAGCUGCCAAGGCCUCUGACGCUGCCGCAUGGCCUUUGAAGAUUCUGAGGACGCUGAGGUGCUGAUGCAGGCUUUGUCUCCAACUCGUGAUGCACGCGCUAGCACCAGCAUCAUUGGCUUAGCAGGUGCCCCCCUUUGUUCUUGUAGACUUGUUAAUAAAGCUUUUCCUUCAAUACCCACCAA